AUGCUUGCUUUGGAGCACAUAUACUAAAAUUGGAAUGAUAUUGAAAAGAUUAGCAUGGCCCCUGUGCAAAGAUGACACACAAAUUCGUGAAGAGUUCCCGAAAAAC
Molecule: small nuclear RNA, 106 nt
Organism: Vulpes vulpes (red fox)
Lineage: Eukaryota; Metazoa; Chordata; Mammalia; Carnivora; Canidae
Source: Ensembl